RNAcentral lists this ribosomal RNA (753 nucleotides) under Triticum aestivum (bread wheat). RNAcentral describes it as "partial small subunit ribosomal RNA". The record is from RNAcentral. Lineage: Eukaryota; Viridiplantae; Streptophyta; Magnoliopsida; Poales; Poaceae.
UUGCAAACUCAAACCUUGGUAAUCUCCGCGCCGCAAAAGAAAACCCUAGCCGCCGCCAUGGCCUUCCUCGCCGGCGCAGCCUCCAUCCGCAGCCCCUUCGCCCUCGUCUCCUCCUCCCGGCGCCGGUACGAUCUACCCACGGCCGUGAAGGCCACCACCAAUUCGAAUUCGGUUCCUCCCCACCCAAUCAUCUCCUCCCUCCGCCUCGCCGCCUCCGCCGCGGUCCUCCUCGCGGCUACCUCACCGGCCAUCGCGUGCACACCGUCCCCGCCUCCGCCCCCCGCGCUCACCGUCACGGUCUCACCCGAGGACGCCAUCCAGGACGACUCCCACCCCUUCGAGAAGCUCAUCGUCGAGACCGCCGCCCUCUCCCGUUUCGGCGGCGCGGAGGCCGCGCGGGCCCGCCUCUCUGCCGCCGGAGGCGGCGAGCAACAUGCCCGGCUCCUCGCGGCGCAGUCGCUCUUCGUGGACGGCAAGGCCGACGAGGCGAUCGCCGCCUUCGAGGAGCUCGCGCGGGAGGACCCCGGCGACUACCGCCCCCUGUUCUGCCAGUACGUCCUGUACUCUGUUCUGGGCAGGGCGGCGGAGUCGGAGUCGAUGCUCGAGCGCUGCCAGGCGAUCGCCGGCGACAAAUUAAGCGCCAAUUUGACAAUGCCGAUCUCGGCGACCAAGGAGGUGGAAGCAGGAGAGGAGGCAGAUGCUGAGCCCGUGACAGAGAAGACGGAAACAGAGGCGGAGGGGGAGAAGCUGUGA